This 253-nucleotide ribosomal RNA is filed under the name uncultured bacterium. RNAcentral's name for it is "partial 16S ribosomal RNA". It matches the Rfam family "Bacterial small subunit ribosomal RNA", at positions 524 to 776 of the family's 1533-position model. The record is from RNAcentral.
GACGGAGGGCGCAAGCGUUGUUCGGAAUUACUGGGCGUAAAGCGCGCGCAGGUGGUUUCUUAAGUCUGAUGUGAAAGCCCACGGCUCAACCGUGGAGGGUCAUUGGAAACUGGGGAACUUGAGUGCAGAAGAGGAAAGUGGAAUUCCAAGUGUAGCGGUGAAAUGCGUAGAGAUUUGGAGGAACACCAGUGGCGAAGGCGACUUUCUGGUCUGUAACUGACACUGAGGCGCGAAAGCGUGGGGAGCAAACAGG